Papaver somniferum (opium poppy) is the source of this 1481-nucleotide long non-coding RNA. RefSeq lists it as uncharacterized. Lineage: Eukaryota; Viridiplantae; Streptophyta; Magnoliopsida; Ranunculales; Papaveraceae. The record is from RefSeq and is a predicted model, not a curated record. The transcript has 3 exons.
CCCUCUUCUCUUUUCUCUUCUCUGUUCGACCUUCUACCGGUUUGAUCGAGAGUUAGCAAGGGAAUUAAUCGAAUGAAGUUAUUUGAUGAGUAUGUGGAUGAUGAAGGAGAUGGUGUAGUUGUAAUUCGUAAAGAAAAUCAAUUAGAGGUUGACGAAUUAGAAUAGAGAGAACCAAGUUAGGGUUUUGGUGAUUAUGAUGAGUGAUUUGGGUUGUUGUUAGGUGAAGAACGAGCGGGUCGAAGUUUAAUUGAGGUUCUAAAGUUGUUUGGAGAUGAUUUGAGGAAUUAGGGUUUCAUAAGAAAAUACUCAAAAGAGGUUUAAAAGAUAAAAUUGAUGUUCAAGAAGUGAGAUUAGAGAUGGAUAUGGAUUGGUUGAGUGAAGUUAUAUUUGGAAUUAAGUUGUAAUCGGUGAAUUGAUGGACCAAUGAAUUAGGGUUUCGGUGUUGAGAAUUGGGAAGUGAACUAAAGUUUACUGAGAACAGAGAUAGUGAUGAAGGUUGCUGAGUUGGUAAUGGGCUUGGGAAGAAUUACUGAGUCAAGUUAACUGAAGAAGAAGUUGACUUUCAAUGGCUUGAAACAGAACUUAGUUGGGGUAACUGCUCUUCUGAUUAAUUUAGUUAUUUAAUCUUGUCAAUUGAGUUCUAUUAGCUGUUAUUUGAGUUAAGAUCUGAGACAGGUAUUUGAAUGAAGUUUGGUGGUAGUUUACAAUUAUGUUGAACCACAGAGAAACUGUAUGUAUGAGAAUGAUACAGGAAUUCAGUGUUUUGUUAUUGUCGGUGAUGAGAUUGUUGAAUCUACUGCUAGUGGUUCAGGCAAAAGAAAUUGAGAUUGUAGGUGAUGUUGAUUGUAUUGGAUCUGAAGUGUCGAAUGGCUUUUGAAGAUUUCAGUUGAGGAUGUAAUAUCAGGAAUGGUGGUGUUUGUAAAGUGAAGAAGGUUAGAAUUGGAUUUGAACUGAAGUUAUAGAGGUUUGUGUUAUGAUUGGUUUGCGGAGAUAGAGUGUAUACAAGAUUAUAGUUUAGGUUUGUUUGAUUGGAUUGCAAUUGCAUAUGGAAUUGGAAUUAAUCUGGUUAUGCAGAUAGAGCUGAAAUGGUAUUGUUAGUCUAAGCCGUUGAGUUGUUAUGAGUUGCAAUUAUAGUGAUAUUGUUUGUGUGUGAGAGUUUUAAAGAUGCAGUGGCAGUAUAGUUGUGCUGGUUUGUUUCAGUUGAGAAGAUGGUUACUGCAGCUACUGCAAUUGCAGUUAGUUAUUAAUAACGAUCGAUUCAAAGGAUGAACCAGUGGAUCAUGGAUCUCGAGGUAGGCGUGGCUUGUCAUCAAAAGAGUUUCAGUGACAGAUCAUAGUUGCGCAGCGGAAGCUUCAAGGGUCGAGUUCGCUAGUUGAUUAACUUCUGCUAUGUUUAUUAUGUAUUAUAUUUUAUUUGUAAACCAAAUGACUAUUAUAUAUGUAUCAUUUGAGAGUAAUCCUUGUAUAUAUAUAUUUCUGAG